GGAUGUGAGGGCGACAUCUGUCACCCCAUUGAUCGCCAGGGUUGAUUCGGCUGAUCUGGCUGGCUAGGCGGGUGUCCGCUUCCUCCCUUACCGCUCCACGUGCGUCCCUCCUGAAGCUGCGCGCUCGGUUGAAGAGGACGGCCAUCCCGGCUAGAGGAGGACCGGUCUUUGGUCAAGGGCAUACGAGUAGCUGCACUCCCCUGCUAGAACCUCCAAACAAGCUCUCAAGGCACAUUUGGGACAUGAUUGAAUAGCUGAGUUCUUU
Unclassified non-coding RNA from Ochotona princeps (American pika), 265 nucleotides. Its record names the gene 7SK. It matches the Rfam family "7SK RNA". Rfam says of the family: 7SK was discovered as an abundant small nuclear RNA in the mid-70s but a possible function has only recently been suggested. The record is from Ensembl. Lineage: Eukaryota; Metazoa; Chordata; Mammalia; Lagomorpha; Ochotonidae.